This 639-nucleotide ribosomal RNA is filed under the name Triticum aestivum (bread wheat). RNAcentral describes it as "partial small subunit ribosomal RNA". The record is from RNAcentral. Lineage: Eukaryota; Viridiplantae; Streptophyta; Magnoliopsida; Poales; Poaceae.
AUGCUCACGCUCAACAUCGCCAGAGCUUUCCACUCAAUCUCCUGGCCUUUCCUCCUCGAGGUCCUCCGCCAUCUUGGCUUCGGCCCGCGCUGGCGCGAAUGGGUCUCCAUCAUCCUCACCACGGCAUCGACACGAGUCCUCAUAAACAAAGUACCUGGGCACCCCAUCUCACAUGCCCAAGGAUUAUGACAAGGCGACCCGCUAUCCCCUAUGCUAUUCGCCCUCGUCAUUGAUGUGCAUAACUCCUUGCUUCUUCGGGCUUCUCACAAGGGUCUGCUUGAGUGGCUUACCCCAGGGCACGCAACUUUGAGUGUAUCCCUAUAUGCCGACAACGUCAUUAUUUCUUGCCACCCAAACACGCAUGUUAUCUCGACCAUCAAGGAGCUUCUCCAUGUCUUUGGCAUUGCCUCCGGUCUUCGGACUAACCUAGCUGAAUGCUCGGCCGCCCCGAUUGGUUGCUCGGAGGUGCACGAGGACAUGAUCCGGAGAGACCUCGCUUGCCCCAUCUCAUCCUUGCCGGUCCGGUACCUUGGCAUGCCCGUGUCUCCUGGAAAGCUCCAUCGUUGGCACUCAUCCCGCUGGAUGAGAAGAUCGAGCACAAAUUCCCACCCGGCGAGCGGCGAUGCUCUCUCUCGCUGA